CCUACGGGAGGCUGCAGUGGGGAAUAUUGCACAAUGGGCGUAAGCCUGAUGCAGCCAUGCCGCGUGUGUGAAGAAGGCCUUCGGGUUGUAAAGCACUUUCAGCGGGGAGGAAGGCGUUAAGGUUAAUAACCUUGGCGAUUGACGUUACCCGCAGAAGAAGCACCGGCUAACUCCGUGCCAGCAGCCGCGGUAAUACGGAGGGUGCAAGCGUUAAUCGGAAUUACUGGGCGUAAAGCGCACGCAGGCGGUCUGUCAAGUCGGAUGUGAAAUCCCCGGGCUCAACCUGGGAACUGCAUUCGAAACUGGCAGGCUAGAGUCUUGUAGAGGGGGGUAGAAUUCCAGGUGUAGCGGUGAAAUGCGUAGAGAUCUGGAGGAAUACCGGUGGCGAAGGCGGCCCCCUGGACAAAGACUGACGCUCAGGUGCGAAAGCGUGGGGAGCAAACAGGAUUAGAUACCCCAGUAGUC
Molecule: ribosomal RNA, 465 nt
Filed under: uncultured Klebsiella sp.
Lineage: Bacteria; Pseudomonadati; Pseudomonadota; Gammaproteobacteria; Enterobacterales; Enterobacteriaceae
Description: bacterial SSU rRNA
Rfam family: Bacterial small subunit ribosomal RNA
Source: RNAcentral